GAGCGAGGGCACCACACCACUCAUUUUCCUGAAAAUGCGAUCCCACGGACGCCUGAAAUCCAGUGCCAGGGGUGGAGGGAAAGCACUUUGAAAAGGCGGGUGAGGGGUCCUGCAGGGCGCUCGGCGACUUUCCAAGCCAGGGCCCCCGACAGACAGAUGCCUCUGAGCCCCCAGCCAUUGGACCCAACCAACCUGCCCUGGUGACCCCUCUGCUGGGUGGGCCAGGUUCUCCCCGGAGGGACCCAGCCUUGUGGCUGAGCAACAGCUUCCCCUCCCCAGACACAGGCCCUGAGCCUGGAGAGUGGGACUAGGGGGUUGAGGUCACCCUGCUCCUGUCACCCCCAUCUGCACAUUGGGGUAAAGGGCAGCAGUCACUCGAGAAUUAAACAAGGAGAGAGCCAGUUGCCCUGAGCGGGGGGAGGAGAGGAUGUCUGGGGGCCUGGAGGGAGAGUGGCGUCUGCUUUCCUCAUCCUGAGGAGAGAGGAUCUGCAGAAGGUUCCACAGCCCAGAGGAAGAAAGCAGGAGAGUCAGGUGCCUCGGAAAGAGAGUGGAGAGCAAAGCUGCUUCUCACAGUGAGGAGAGUGUCCCCUGUCAUCGUCCCCGCCCCCAACCCCAGAGUCAGCAGGGGCUCCGACAAAGGGGGAGAGAACAAUUCUCUCCAGGAGGUGGCGCAGCCCCUGCCUGGGGAGCUUCAUCUGAAGUCCAGGCCCCCAGCGGAGGCCAGAGCCCUCAGCCUCCCCAGGCCCGAGGUUCUUCACUGGGGCAGGAACAGGCAGCGGGGCACUGCCCCCAGGGGAGAUCUCGGCUGCAGGAAGAAGCGGCUGGUUUCCUUCAGGUCUGCAGAGCACAGACUUUUGCUUCUGAAUCAGGGCUUCCAGGAUCUUCAAGACCUAGCGGGCAAGGGACAACAGACUUGCCAGCUAAGACUUGCACAGUGACGAGAGCUAAAGCAGACCCCUCUACAUUCGUUCAUUCAAAAAAAUAUUUACUAAACUUGUUUCAAUUACCUGUUGCUGCAUAACAAACUACCC
This 1031-nucleotide long non-coding RNA is filed under the name Equus caballus (horse). Its description in RNAcentral is "lncRNA (ENSECAG00000053963.1)". The record is from RNAcentral. Lineage: Eukaryota; Metazoa; Chordata; Mammalia; Perissodactyla; Equidae.